CUUGGAACCGGGAGAGGUAAGAGGUACUACAGGGGUAGGAGUGAAAUCUUGUAAUCCCUGUGGGACCACCUGUGGCGAAGGCGUCUUACCAGAACGGGUUCGACGGUGAGGGACGAAAGCUGGGGGCACGAACCGGAUUAGAUACCCGGGUAGUCCCAGCCGUAAACGAUGCUCGCUAGGUGUCAGGCAUGGCGCGACCGUGUCUGGUGCCGCAGGGAAGCCGUGAAGCGAGCCACCUGGGAAGUACGGCCGCAAGGCUGAAACUUAAAGGAAUUGGCGGGGGAGCACAACAACGGGUGGAGCCCUGCGGUUUAAUUGGACUCAACGCCGGACAACUCACCGGGGGCGACAGCAAUAUGUAGGCCAAGCUGAAGACUUUGCCUGAAUCGCUGAGUAGUGGUGCAUGG
This 407-nucleotide ribosomal RNA is filed under the name uncultured archaeon. Its description in RNAcentral is "bacterial SSU rRNA". It matches the Rfam family "Archaeal small subunit ribosomal RNA", at positions 592 to 997 of the family's 1478-position model. The record is from RNAcentral.